Molecule: long non-coding RNA, 823 nt
Filed under: Homo sapiens (human)
Lineage: Eukaryota; Metazoa; Chordata; Mammalia; Primates; Hominidae
Description: long non-coding RNA NONHSAT200057.1
Source: RNAcentral
CUUUCUCAGGGGGAAUUGGGUUUUUUUACAUACAACUGAGUUUUCGCUUACACGUUCUUUAAUUUCUUUUAAUUCCUGUUUCAUCACCAGGCUGGAAUGUAGUGGUGCAAUAACAGCUCACUGUAGCCUCGACCUCCUGGGCUCAAGCCAUCCCCAACCUCACCCUCCCGAGUAGCUGGGACCACAGGCGUGUGCCACCACACUCAGCUAAUUUAUUUAAAACAAUUUUUUUUAGAGAUGAGGUCUCCCUUUGUUGCCCAGCUGGUCUGAAAUUCCUGGUUUCAAGUGACCCUCACACGUCAGCCUCCUAAAGAGGUGAAGUUAUAAGCAUGAACCAUUGUGGCCAGCGGUGGGACUGAUCCUUACAAAGGUCUUGUGUGCUUCUUAUCUCUCUUGGAACCACGUCAUGGCCAUGAAAACAAGCUCAAGCUAGCCUACUGAAGGAUACAAGAACCAUAGAGGAAAGCUGAGUCACUUUAGCUGAGGCCAUAAUAGACUGAUCAGCCCCCUGCCAACAACCAGUGAUGGCAGAUGCUUGAUCGGGCCCCAGAAAGUUCAUCAGAAAUGAGUGAGUCAAGGUCACAAUAACUGAUCAGCUGAACCAUGGACUCAGGAAAAAUUUUUUUUAAAGGUAGUUGUUUGUUUUGUUUUUUAACAUACCAGUAGCUACAUAGCCCAUAUUGCAAAUGACAUCAAAUUGGACAGAAUGGUUACUGGGUUGUAAUUUUGGAAUGACGGAUUCUAAGUAUCAAGAAGAAUCUGAAUGGGAACAAAUGUAUAAUUCUCAUGAAGUGCUGUACUUGAUUAAAAACUCAAUACAAAA